GAUGAACGCUGGCGGCGUGCUUAACACAUGCAAGUCGAACGGGAUCCCCUGGGUGCUUGCACUUAUUGGUGAGAGUGGCGAACGGGUGAGUAACACGUGAGUAACCUGUCCUUUUCUUUGGUUUAAGCUUUCGAAAGGGUGUUUAAUACCUUAUGUUCUAUCUGCCUCGCAUGGGGUGUGUGGUAAAGGCUUUGGCCGUAUUUGGGUGGGCUGGCGGUCUAUCAGCUGGUUGGUGGGGUGAUGGCUUACCAAGGCUUUGACGGGUAGCCGGCCUGAGAGGGUGGUCAGUCAGAGUGGGACUGAGAGACGGGCCAGACACCGGCGGGAGGCAGCAGGGGGAGAGAUUGAAGAAUGGGCGAAAGACUGAUGCAGCGAGGCCGCGGGGGGGAUGAAGGCGGGCUGGUUGUAAACUUCGUUUGCUCGGAACAAGGCAUGCCAGUGGGGGUGUUGAGGGGAGGGGUUGAUUAGCGCCGGCUAACUACGUG
RNAcentral lists this ribosomal RNA (485 nucleotides) under uncultured bacterium. RNAcentral's name for it is "partial 16S ribosomal RNA". It matches the Rfam family "Bacterial small subunit ribosomal RNA", at positions 28 to 507 of the family's 1533-position model. The record is from RNAcentral.